RNAcentral lists this unclassified non-coding RNA (313 nucleotides) under plant metagenome. RNAcentral describes it as "partial contains 5.8S ribosomal RNA, internal transcribed spacer 2, and large subunit ribosomal RNA". The stretch from base 1 to 105 matches the Rfam family "5.8S ribosomal RNA", at positions 50 to 154 of the family's 154-position model. The record is from RNAcentral.
GAAAUGCGAUACGUAGUGUGAAUUGCAGAAUUCAGUGAAUCAUCGAAUCUUUGAACGCACAUUGCGCCCUUUGGUAUUCCAAAGGGCAUGCCUGUUCGAGCGUCAUUUGUACCCUCAAGCUUUGCUUGGUGUUGGGCGUUUUUUGUCUUUGGCUCGCCCAAAGACUCGCCUUAAAACGAUUGGCAGCCGGCCUACUGGUUUCGCAACGCAGCACAUUUUUGCGCUUGCAAUCAGCAAAAGAGGACGGCAAUCCAUCAAGACUCCUUCUCACGUUUGACCUCGGAUCAGGUAGGGAUACCCGCUGAACUUAAGC